AGAGUUUGAUCAUGGCUCAGGACGAACGCUGGCGGCGUGCUUAACACAUGCAAGUGGAGCGACGAACCAGGGCUUGCCCUGGGGCAGAGCCGCGAACGGGUGAGUAACACGUGAGUAAUCUGCCCUCGGCACCGGGAUAGCCCGUGGAAACGCGGAUUAAUACCGGAUGGCCCGCCGGCCCUUCGGGGCUGUCGGAAAAGGUAGCUUCGGCCUCUGGCCGAGGAGGAGCUCGCGGCCGAUUAGCUUGUUGGCGGGGUAAUGGCCCACCAAGGCGACGAUCGGUAGCUGGUCUGAGAGGGCGACCGGCCACACUGGGACUGAGACACGGCCCAGACUCCUACGGGAGGCAGCAGUGGGGAAUCUUGCCCAAUGGGCGAAAGCCUGAGGCAGCGACGCCGCGUGCGGGAAGAAGGCCUUCGGGUUGUAAACCGCUUUCAGGAGGGACGAAGCCACUCGGGUGAAUAGCCCAGAGGGUGACGGUACCUCUAGAAGAAGCCCCGGCUAACUACGUGCCAGCCGCCGCGGUAAUAC
This 531-nucleotide ribosomal RNA is filed under the name uncultured bacterium. Its description in RNAcentral is "bacterial SSU rRNA". It matches the Rfam family "Bacterial small subunit ribosomal RNA", at positions 8 to 526 of the family's 1533-position model. The record is from RNAcentral.